GAUGAACGCUGGCGGCGUGCCUAAUACAUGCAAGUCGAGCGAACAGAUGGGGAGCUUGCUCCUCUGACGUUAGCGGCGGACGGGUGAUUAACACGUGGAUAACCUACCGAUAAGGCUGGGAUAACUUCGGGAAACCGGAGCUAGUACCGGAUAAUAUAUUGAACGGCAGGGAUCAAUAGUGAAAGACGGUUUUGCUGGCACGUAUGGAUGGAUCCGCGCCGCAUUAGCUAGUUGGUAAGGUAACGGCUUACCAAGGCAACGAUGCGUAGCCGACCUGAGAGGGUGAUCAGCCACACUGGAACUGAGACACGGUCCAGACUCCUACGGGAGGCAGCAGUAGGGAAUCUUCCGCAAUGGGCGAAAGCCUGACGGAGCCACGCCGCGUGAGUGAUGAAGGUCUUCGGAUCGUAAACCUCUUUUAUUCGGGACGAACCGAUGUGUACGUAUCUAUGCACGUCUUGACGGUACCUAAACAGAAAGCCCCGGCUAACUACGUG
This 497-nucleotide ribosomal RNA is filed under the name uncultured bacterium. RNAcentral describes it as "partial 16S ribosomal RNA". It matches the Rfam family "Bacterial small subunit ribosomal RNA", at positions 28 to 507 of the family's 1533-position model. The record is from RNAcentral.